RNAcentral lists this unclassified non-coding RNA (6010 nucleotides) under Pectinophora gossypiella (pink bollworm). RNAcentral's name for it is "muscle calcium channel subunit alpha-1-like". Lineage: Eukaryota; Metazoa; Arthropoda; Insecta; Lepidoptera; Gelechiidae. The record is from RNAcentral.
GUGCGCGGCGCACGGGAGUGAAGCUCGCGCGGGUCGUGCGCGCGCCGCCGCCCUGCACCAGCCUGCCGCCAGCCAAACCUUCGACACCUGAAAAAAAUAAAUCCAAAAAACCUGAAAAGGCGUUUUCCGAUCUCUUUUGUAAUUAAUUAACCAUGGCGUUCGGCGCGAGCUCGCUUGUUCCCAAACACCGGUGUUAGUGCACAAUAUGGUCCGCCUCAAAGCUGACGGGACUUAAAUUCGAUAUAGUGAUAGUUGUCGUAUUGUGGUGUGUAUUGUUAGUUAAAUUGUAUAUAAAGUGUUGUGCGACUUGAAACCUGAUUCAUUUACUAAGACUACACCAAACCCUAUGGGACCAACAUACACCUGCAUAAAAUACCGUCGUAUACAAUAUAAAUAAAUAAAUCAAGCUAAAUAACCUAAAUCCUAAGUUGAAUCCUGAAGACUUUAUUAAACCUACUCAAUAUACAGAAACCUAGUUAGCCUCUUCCAAUAAUACAAUUUCUAAAUCUUCCGUAGUAAGUGUAUGAGUGCGUGUGUUGUGGAGUGCAGAGUGCAGUGAGAUGAUCAGUGACUGUUGGUGCUGACGCGUGACAGCGCAUGGCAUUGUGGAGACGCGCCCGCCUGCGCCACGCGACUACCACUAGAGAAAGAUGAGCGGCACAGAGGAUGGCGUCGCGGUGCCCAAUACGCCAGACGCAGGCGGUGGCGAGGUGGCGGCGGAGUCCCCGGCGGCGGCGGGUGAGGGCGCGGGUGCGGGCCCGCUCAUCCCCGUGCCGGCCGCGCCGCGCAAGCCGCCGCGCCGCGGCCCUAAGGUGCAGCAGGAACGCCCCAAGCGGGCGCUCUUCUGCCUCACGCUCAAGAACCCGCUGCGGAAACUCUGCAUCAACAUCGUCGAGUGGAAGCCGUUCGAGUGGAUGAUCCUGACGACGAUCUUCGCCAACUGUGUGGCGCUGGCGGUGUACACACCCUUCCCCGCCAGCGACUCCAACUAUACCAACUGGGUGCUUGAAAAAAUCGAAUAUAUAUUUCUGGUGAUUUUCACGGGCGAGUGCGUAAUGAAGAUUAUCGCGUACGGGUUCAUGAUGCACGCCGGCUCGUACCUGCGCAACGGGUGGAACCUGCUCGACUUCACCAUCGUCGUCAUUGGUAUGGUGAGCACAGUGCUGUCGAGUAUAUUCAAAGAUGCGUUCGACGUGAAGGCGCUGCGAGCGUUCAGAGUGUUACGGCCGCUGCGAUUGGUAUCCGGAGUCCCUAGUCUCCAGAUCGUUCUGAACUCGAUCCUGAAGGCGAUGGUGCCACUGCUGCACAUCGCCCUGUUGGUCAUCUUCGUCAUCAUCAUCUACGCUAUCAUCGGCCUCGAGCUCUUCUCCGGCAAAAUGCACAAGACUUGCUACAAUAAGUAUACAAAUGAGAUAAUGGAUUCUCCGCACCCGUGUGACGUGGACAACGGAUUCAACUGUUCGUCUCUCGGCGAGGAGAUGGAGUGCCGCGAGAAUGGCUGGCAGGGGCCCAACGAUGGUAUCACCAACUUUGAUAACUUCGGCCUCUCCAUGCUCACAGUCUUCCAAUGUAUCACGCUUGAAGGAUGGACCGAUGUCAUGUACAAUAUUCAAGAUGCAAUGGGCAAUAGUUGGGAAUGGAUUUAUUUUGUGUCGAUGGUCAUAUUGGGAGCAUUUUUCGUCAUGAACCUCAUUCUCGGUGUGUUGUCUGGAGAAUUCUCCAAAGAAAGAGAGAAGGCGAAAAACCGCGGCGACUUCCAGAAACUACGAGAGAAGCAACAGUUGGAAGAGGAUUUGAAGGGUUAUCUCGAUUGGAUCACACAGGCCGAGUACUUGGAACCGCUAGCUGACCAACACGACGCCAACGACCAGAAGAGAGAUUACGGCAUCGGUAUUGGUCAAACUCCAAACGAGCACGAUUCAACGGAUCACCUGGGAAUAGAACCCAAUGAACAACAAAAGGUUUCAUUAUGCAAGCUGUGGAGGAAAGACUUUGAUAAGGUGAAUCGACGAAUGAAACGUGCAUGUCGUCGUGCUGUCAAGUCACAGACCUUCUACUGGUUGAUCAUCGUGCUUGUGUUCAUGAAUACCGUAGUUCUAGCCAGCGAACAUUAUCAUCAACCUGAGUGGCUCGACUACUUUCAAGAGUACGGGAAUGCGUUUUUUGUAGCGUUAUUUACGAUAGAAAUGCUUGUAAAAAUGUACAGUUUAGGUUUACAAGGGUACUUCGUGUCGCUGUUCAACCGGUUCGACUGCUUCGUAGUGGUGGGGUCCAUCAGCGAGAUGGUGCUCACCAAGACGGAGGUGAUGCCGCCGCUCGGCAUCUCCGUGCUGCGCUGCGUGCGCCUGCUCAGAGUGUUCAAGGUCACCAAGUACUGGCGGUCGCUGUCGAACCUGGUGGCGUCGUUGCUGAACUCAAUCCAAUCAAUCGCGUCGCUGCUGCUGCUGCUGUUCUUGUUCAUCAUGAUCUUCGCGCUGCUCGGCAUGCAGGUUUUCGGCGGCAAGUUCAACUACGACGCCGUCAUUGAGAAAGACAGGCACAACUUUGACUGCUUUUGGCAGGCGCUGCUCACUGUCUUUCAGAUAUUGACGGGUGAAGAUUGGAACGCGGUGAUGUAUGAGGGCAUCAAGGCGUACGGCGGAGUCGGCACCUUCGGCAUAGUAGCCUGCAGCUACUUCAUCAUUCUAUUCAUCUGCGGCAAUUAUAUCCUACUAAACGUGUUCUUGGCUAUCGCUGUGGACAAUCUCGCAGAUGCAGAGUCCUUGACCAACAUCGAAAAGGAGGAAGGAGCUGUAGAAGAGAAAGAAGGAGGCAGUAUUGUGGAGCAGGAAGGAGCUCACGCGGAUACGGAUGAUGAGUACAUUCACGACGAUGACGCUUACACCACUGAUAACUCAGAAAGAGAGUACGAAGAAACAGGUUCAGAAGGUGAGCAACAAGAAGAAAUAGAAGGAGAAGAAAUGGGACAAGAAGGAGACGAGGGAGACCGAGAGAGAGUGGAGGAAGAACAAGAACCAGAAGAGGAAGAGAUGCAUCAGAGGAAUCAUAUAGUGAGCACAGAGCUGGAGGAGGGCCCGCGGCUGAAGCGCAAGCCCACGACGUCGUCGGCGCGGCCGCGACGCCUCUCCGAGGUCGAUAUACACGACACUAAGAAACCCAUCCCUGACGCCUCGUCCCUCUUCAUAUUUUCCAAAACCAACAGGUUCCGCGUACUGUGCUACAACAUCUCGGCAUCGUCGACGUUCGGCAACAUCAUCCUGGUGUGCAUCAUGCUCUCCUCCGCCAUGCUGGCCGCUGAGGACCCCCUAGAUGCCGCGCAGAAGGGGUUCAGAAAUUGGUUGUUAAGUCAAUUCGACGUGUUCUUCACGAGCAUCUUCACGCUGGAGUUGUUCCUGAAGCUGGUGACGUACGGGCUGAUCCUGCACCAGGGCGCCUUCCUGCGCUCCGCCUUCAACGUGCUCGACAUGCUCGUCGUCUGCGUCUCGCUCAUCUCUAUGAGCUUUAAGUCUGGUAGUAUAUCGGUGGUAAAAAUAUUGCGAGUGUUCAGGGUGCUGAGGCCUCUUAGGGCCAUCAAUAGGGCCAAAGGCCUUAAGUAUGUGGUGAAAUGUGUGAUAGUAGCGAUUAAGACUAUAGGAAAUAUAAUGCUAGUUACAUAUUUAUUACAAUUUAUGUUCGCGGUCGUCGGUGUACAGUUGUUUAAGGGUAAAUUUUUUAGAUGUAAUGACAUUUCGAAAAUGACGAAGGACGAGUGUCAGGGGACGUAUUUAGUAUUUGAAAAGGGCAACUACGCCGUGAGAGAUCGUGAAUGGACGAGAUACGACUUCCACUUUGAUAACGUGAUGAAGGGAAUGCUCACUCUGUUCACCGUAUCCACGUUCGAGGGAUGGCCAGGGUUGUUGUAUGUAUCGAUAGAUUCGAAUGCUGAGGAUCGUGGUCCCAUAACUAACUUCCGUCCAAUUGUUGCAGCCUACUAUAUUAUUUAUAUUAUUAUAAUUGCCUUCUUUAUGGUUAAUAUAUUCGUCGGUUUCGUCAUAGUGACAUUCCAAAAUGAGGGUGAGCAGGAGUACAAGAACUGUGAGUUAGACAAGAACCAGAGGAACUGCAUAGAGUUCGCACUGAAAGCCAAGCCUAUACGACGAUACAUCCCAAAGCACCGCAUUCAGUACAAGGUGUGGUGGUUCGUGACGUCGCAGCCAUUUGAGUACGCGAUCUUCGUGCUGAUCAUGAUCAACACUAUCACUUUGGCUAUGAAGUACCACAAGCAGCCCGACGAGUACAGCACCGUGCUUGAUAUGCUCAACAUGAUCUUCACCGCCAUCUUUGCGCUCGAGUUCAUAUUCAAACUCGCCGCUUUCAGGUUCAAGAAUUACUUCGGCGACGCGUGGAACACGUUCGAUUUCAUCAUCGUCUUGGGGAGUAUCAUAGACAUCGUGGUAUCGCAAGUAAACGAAAUCAAGAACCAAGGAAGUGGAUCGGGGAGAGCUCACAAGGAGAGCUCGAUUCCAUCGAUAAACUUCUUCCGACUUUUCCGCGUGAUGCGGCUGGUAAAGCUGCUGUCUCGUGGCGAGGGCAUUCGCACGCUGCUGUGGACGUUCAUCAAGUCCUUCCAGGCUCUGCCGUACGUCGCGCUGCUGAUCCUCAUGCUGUUCUUCAUAUACGCCGUCGUGGGCAUGCAGGUUUUCGGGAAAAUAGCAAUAGAUGAUGAGACACCUAUCACCAGGAACAACCACUUCCAAACGUUCCCACAAGCCAUCCUUGUGUUAUUUCGAUCUGCCACUGGCGAGGCGUGGCAAGACAUAAUGAUGGCUGUGUCUCCGGAGCCAACGGUGAAGUGCGACCGCAGCUACGAGUUCGAAGAGGGCGAAGAGAACAGCGGUUCGUGCGGCAGCGUGCUCGCCUUCCCCUACUUCAUCUCCUUCUACGUUCUCUGCUCAUUUUUAAUCAUUAAUUUGUUCGUCGCCGUCAUUAUGGAUAAUUUCGACUAUUUAACUAGAGACUGGUCAAUAUUGGGACCACACCACUUAGAUGAAUUUAUAAGAUUAUGGAGCGAAUACGAUCCCGACGCCAAGGGUAGAAUAAAACAUUUAGAUGUAGUUACUUUACUUAGGAAAAUUAGUCCACCUCUAGGUUUUGGUAAGCUAUGUCCGCACCGGGUGGCGUGCAAGCGGCUGGUCUCGAUGAACAUGCCGCUCAACUCGGACGGCACCGUGCUCUUCAAUGCGACGCUCUUCGCCGUCGUCAGGACCUCGCUCAAAAUUAAAACAGAAGGUAACAUCGACGAUUGCAACACGGAGCUGCGAGCGGUGAUCAAGAAGAUUUGGAAGCGAACAUCGCCUAAACUGCUAGACCAGGUGGUGCCGCCACCAGGAGACCCCAACGAGAUCACCGUUGGCAAGUUCUACGCCACCUUCCUUAUACAGGACUACUUCAGAAGGUUUAAAAAGCGAAAGGAGCAAGAGAUGCGUCAAAGCGAAGAACAGAACCACCAAAUGACGCUGCAGGCGGGGCUACGCACGCUUCACGAGGCCGGGCCCGAGCUCAAGCGAGCCAUCUCGGGAAACCUCGACGACAUAACCACCGAGUGCGACGUGCCCAUGCAUAGGAGAAACCACUCUCUGUUCGGCGGUGUAUGGUCGAGUAUACGAAGGCACGGGCCCAACAGACACUUCCACCGGCCGCGGAAACCUGGGGAGGUGGCACAAGAUGGUGUGGGCAAUCAUCUUAGUUCGAUGAUGCAACGUGAAUAUGGAGUAAUGGGACCGCUUCCAAUAACGCCAAACCUGGCAAAUGGUCAACCGAGGGAGCAGAUACCAUUAAGGCCUUUAAUAUUCAACGGGGAGUCGGAGAAAAUAUACCAAGUGCUAGAGCGGCGAUAGCGGCGAGCGCGGCGUGGUGUCGCUGCCCGGCAGCCCCCGCGGCCCGGCGGCCGCCGCGCCCGUCGUGGGCUCCGCUGAGAGCCUCGUCACCAGGGUGUUGGCAGAGCAGGGUCUGGGCGCUUACUGUGACCCGG